UUCUAGAUCAAGAUAAAAGCUUGCAAUACAGAAUCAUGCACUGAAAAAGAACUGGGUUAUUUAUUAAUGGUACACCAAUCAGAAGAUGGCAAGAAAUCGGUCUAAAGGCUGUUUUUUUCCCCUUUCUUAAUCAUGCAUUAGGAAGUAUUUAAUAAAAGUAAUUAAUUGUCUUAAACAAAGAUCAGUCAUUACAAAAAUGUAAGAACUAAUCUGUGAAAAAUUAAAAAAUAAAACAUAACAUUAUGG
This 246-nucleotide long non-coding RNA is filed under the name Mytilus galloprovincialis (Mediterranean mussel). Lineage: Eukaryota; Metazoa; Mollusca; Bivalvia; Mytilida; Mytilidae. The record is from RNAcentral.